This 4667-nucleotide long non-coding RNA is filed under the name Papio anubis (olive baboon). Its description in RNAcentral is "lncRNA (ENSPANG00000050370.1)". Lineage: Eukaryota; Metazoa; Chordata; Mammalia; Primates; Cercopithecidae. The record is from RNAcentral.
AUGGGUGUGGAAAAGACUCACGUUCGCAAUGCGCAAAGCAUUAGAAAGAUACCGGUGGAAGACGCAGCUCGCGGGCGCCCUUUGCAGAAGAUGCUGGGAAAUGUAGUUCCUGUCCGCCGCGUGCGCAGGCGUACUUCUUGGCUUGGGAAGCUCAUCGCCCGACAGUGCUCUUUAUUUUUCCGUGGAGCAGGUGAGCUUUUUCUUUCCCCACCCUUGGACUCCUGUGGGAGGCUGGGAGAGAGGUCCGCUUCAAACACAACCAUUCGGGCGGGUCAGCCGAGGCCUGAGAAUGCAUUGGCCGGGCCCGGGGGCGGAGGCGGGGGCGGAGGAAAGGCGAUUAGGUCAGGCUGGGUAUUUGGUUCGCGUUGCAGUGAUGGCCCAGGGUGAUGGUGACCGGGGCCAGCAUCCCGCUUCGGGGUGAGGAGGAGGCAAAGCCCUGUCUGCGCAUCCCAGCCUUACUAGUCGGGGCCUUGGGUUCUCUUCUGGGUUGGAGGGUGAUGAAAACAGAGCUCAGAGCUUUUGGGCCUUGCUUUGACUCUGAUGGGGGGCAGUUUAUCUGGGGAGAGGCAGCCACCCCAGACCUUGGUGGUAGACCUGGGAAUUGCAAGAAAACUGUGAUAGGUAUUUAGUGCCAACUAGAAUUUAGGUUUCCCGACAUCCAGUUCUUGCUCUUUCCUCAGAAACUCACCUCCUCGCUAGAUGUAGUUUAUUUAGUUUUACUGGUAAAUUUCUGAAGUCUCUUCUAUAAAGAACUGUGGAAUUGAUUCCCUACACUCUGCGGGCAAUGAAGAGCAAUUGUUUGUUCUUUGAGAUGGCAUUUGUGGAUGCACUUCGAAAAAUUGUAUAUGCUUUACAAGUAUUAUUAUUAACAAAUGGGGGCUGAUGUACUCGGUGCCACCCAUCAUGGGAGGAUAAAGUUAGCCCUGUUUCUGGUUUGUCAGAUUGGACCAGUGACCAGAGACAGGAAUGUAAGUGGCCUUUCACUUCGUACUCUGCAGGGAAACAAUCUGUUCCUAGACUCAUUCUGACAUUUUUACAGAGGGUGCGGGUUAUAUCCAGGUAGUCAGACAGGCUUCCCAUAAAGACAGUCCUGAUUUCUCAAGGCCCCUUUCCUUUUUCAGCUCUGCUUUCUCAGGUCUCUACUUACUUCUAUAAGAUGGCAUCAAGAAGAAGGACCUGACCACUGGCCCCUGACUACAUGGUCUUUGGUGAGCAGAACUUUUCAAGGCAUUUCUUAGUAGAAAUUAAGCUGGGUUUAAUUUCUAAAGUUCCAUCUUGCAGUGUGGAAAAAUCAUAUGCAAUUAAAUGUCCCUUGAGAAUCUCUUUUAUUGCUCAUUAUUUGCUUUCUUUUUCUUUUUUUUUUUUUUUUUUUUUUUGGAGACAGAGUCUCGCCCUGUCGCCCAGGCUGGAGUGCAGUGCAUGAUCUUGGCUCACUGCAACCUCUGCCUCCUGGGUUCAAGCGAUUCUCGUGCCUCAGCCUCCUGAGUAGCUGGGACUAUAGGCGUGCACCACCACGCCUGGCUAAUUUUUGUAUUUUUAGUAGAGAUGGGGUUUCACCAUGUUGUGCAACCUGGUCUUGAACUCCUGACCUCGUGAUCUGCCUGCCUCAGCCUCCCAAAGUGCUGGGAUUACAGGUGUGAGCCACCGCACUCGGCGUAAUUUUUCUUUGUAACUGACAAAUAAAAAUUGUAUAUAUCAUGUGUAACGUGUUGUUUUGAAAUAUGUAUACUUGGUAGAAUGGCUAAAUCAGCUAAUGAACAUGCAUCACCUCACGUACUUUUAAUUUUUUUGUGGUGAGAGCACUUAAACUGCUCUCAUAGCAAUUUUCAAGAAUACAUUGUUAUGAACGAUAGUUCAUAAUGUGUAUUUACAUGUAGUGUGUAAACAACCAUGCAAUAAUAUACAUGUAUAAAUGUACCCCAACUAUGUUCUUUAAACAUUAAAAUAACUCAGCAUAGCAAGAUGCUCACUUACGAGAGGGCUGUGAGAACUGAGACUGAGGAAACAGGAGAUGCUCCCAUCUCACUCUUACCUUUAGAUGACAUACUUUCUUGAGCCUGUUGGGCAGAUUUGUACAAAUAAAAUAUACAUAUGUGUCUGUAAUGCAGCUCUGCUGUAUUUUUUAUUUCCUGAAAUAUCACCUCUGUCCAGAGGGAGGGAAGAUUUUCUUUCACUCACUGAAUAAUAUUCAUUGAGUGCCUACUUUUUGCCAGCUAAUAUUCUAAGCAUUGGGAUAUAACAGUGAAUAACGCAAAGUCCCUGCCUAUGUGGAGCUGACAGUCUUGGAUGGGACAAUAAUGCAAACACAGAUAUUCCUCAACUUAGCAUGGGGUUACAUUCCAGUAAAUGUGCAAGUUGAAAAUAUUAAUUCAAAAAUGCACUAAUUCACCUAAUCUACUGAACAUCAUUCGUAGUGAUGAAUAGAGGAAACUAUACCAGAGUAACGGGGCUAGGGAAGGCAUGGGACAGCCAUUAUUUAAUAUAGGGGAGUGGGAGAAAACUUCACUGGUAGAUGACAUUGAAUAGAGACUUACAGAAAAUGAGAAUAUGGGCUGGGCGCGAUGGCUCAUGCCUGUAAUCCCAGCACUUCGGGAGGCCGAGGCAGGCAGAUCACGAGGUCAAGAGAUUGAGACCAUCCUGGCCAACAUGGUGAAACUCUGUCUCUACUAAAAAUACAAAAAUUAUCUGGGCGUUAUGGCAAAUGCCUGUAGUCCUAGCUACUCAGGAGACUGAGGCAGGAGAAUCGCUUGAACCUGGGAGGUGGAGGUUGCAUUGAGCUGAGAUCGUGCCACUGCCUUCCAGCCUGGGCUAUAGAGCAAGACUCCAUCUCCAAAAAAAAAAAAAAAAAAAAAAGAAUAUGAGCAUUGCAGAUAUUUGGGAAGACGGGAGGAGGAGGAUUAAGUUCCUCAGCAGAAGCAACAGCAAAUGCAAAGCCUUAAGGUGCGGAUAUGCUUAACCUUUGUGGGAACAUCAGGAAGGCCAUGUGUCCUGAGACGGGUGAGUGAGAGCAGCACAGCAGGAGUUGAGAUGACAGAGGUAAGGCGUGUAGACCACACAGCACACAGGCUAGUAUAGGCCACAGCCAGUUUGGCUUUUGUGUUGAAUGAGAAGAGAAAAUGUAGGAAGUGAUGGUGGUUGGUGUUAUUGUUUAUUCAGCUCUAUUGAGAUUUACAUAUAAUUUGCCAAUUUUCAUAGGAGGAUUUUGAAUAGAGAAGUGACAUAACUUGACUUAGUUUAAAGGAACCAUUUUGGAUGCUCUGUUGAGAAUAGAGUAUAGGGUACCAAGGUCAGACAUGGAUACUGGCUAGGAAGCUAAAGCAAUCAUCCAGGUGAAAGAUGGAUUUUUCUAUUUCCUUCAUUAUCUGACUUUUUAAGCCAACCAACACUUCAUCUACCCCAAACUUCCAAUUCCUCUCCCCAUCUCCACUCUCAUGCUUCCUAUUUUACUAAGAGAACUAGCAGAGAACUUCCAAAUGCUCUCACCACUACAUCCCCUAAUCUUCCAGGAAGUAUUCCCAUUAUACUCCAAAGUAACAGGAGGGAGCCUGUCCUCCCUCCUGUUACUAUGGAGAAAUGGCCUGGACUCUAAUUUAUGGCCAACUCCUCUACUAGUGUACUAGAUCCCACUUUCUCUCACUUUCCCAGGACAGUGCCUGGGACAAUCAUUGGGCAAAAUUCCUGAUAGUUUUGUCAUUUAUAUAUAUUUUGCUUAUUUAGAUAUCUAGACAUAAUUUUUCAGAAAAAUAGAAAAAUUCAAAUAAAAUGCUGGAUUUUAAAAUCAUAAAUGAUCUAAUAUCCAUCAACACUAAUUUGCUGUGAGAGAAAUCUGCAAAUACAUAAUGCUUCUAUCAUUCUUGAGUUGAAAGGGACUUCUGUUAAAAGAGUUCAACUAUAAUUCCAUGGGUUAAAACUAUUAAUAAAUCCAUAGAAUUUUCUUCCUUUUCAUAAACAUUUCUUCCUGUUACUUCGUGUUACUCUAUGCGUCACUCCCUCCCACUUUCCUAGGAAGGAAUACAGACAUUGGAAGUAGAACACUGAGGUACAAUGAAUGUAAUGAUGUAACGAGAGGAAAAGUACAAGGUGCUGUGAGUUCAUUUUUGUAGGUAAUGUAGCUAUUAUUAACAAUGUGUAUGACUCAAAGGUAAUUUAUUAUGAACCUGGUGUGAUUAUAAUGUGACUUUGUAAAAUAAAUACAAAUAAACCUUUUCCACUAAGAGCAUAUAAGAGCAGCCAUUUCCCCAGUACUUAAAACAGUACUGAAUAUUGCCUGUUUUUAACAUUUUUGCCCAUCUGAUGAAUGAAAAUUAGUAUCUUAAUUUGUAUUUCUGUGAUUAGAAGUGAGCUUGAAAAUCUUUUUGUAUAUUGAUCAUUUGUAUUUCUUUUGUGAAUUUCCUGUUCAUAUGUUCAUAUCUUUUGCCCAGAUUUGUAUGGCAUUAUACAUUUUUCCUAUUUGAUUUGUACAAACUCUGUAUAAUACAGAAAAUUGUCCUUUUUGCUUUAUUAGUUACAAAUAUUUACUCCCAGUAUGUCUUUUGUCUUUUAAUUUAGUUGAUUGCCUUCUAUGUUUGUAUAGUCAAAUCUGUGAGUCUUUUUCUAUAUAACCUCUAGAUUUUAUAUUUUAUUAAGGAUUUCCCCAUUGCAAGAUUAUAAAAAUAUUCUUCUAGUGG